ACCAGCAUAUAGUUUGUCCUUGUCACAGUGUUGCAGCCCAAGACCGGUUACUCACUGAAGCUAAGCAGGGCUGAGCCUGAUCAGUACCUGAAUGGGAGACCAUGGGAAGACUAGGUUGCUGUUGGAU
Molecule: ribosomal RNA, 127 nt
Filed under: Danio rerio (zebrafish)
Lineage: Eukaryota; Metazoa; Chordata; Actinopteri; Cypriniformes; Danionidae
Source: RNAcentral